This 319-nucleotide ribosomal RNA is filed under the name Notholebias minimus. RNAcentral's name for it is "Leptolebias minimus partial 12S ribosomal RNA". It matches the Rfam family "Bacterial small subunit ribosomal RNA", at positions 875 to 1360 of the family's 1533-position model. Lineage: Eukaryota; Metazoa; Chordata; Actinopteri; Cyprinodontiformes; Rivulidae. The record is from RNAcentral.
GAAAAUUACAAGCAUAAGCUUAAAACUCAAAGGACUUGGCGGCGCUUUAAACCCAUCUAGAGGAGCCUGUCCUAUAACCGAUAACCCCCGUUAAACCUCACCCUUUUUUGCUUCCAGUCUAUAUACCGCCGUCGUCAGCUUACCCUGUAAAGGCUUACCAGUAAACAAAAAUGGUUCAACCCAAAACGUCAGGUCAAGGUGUAGCUUAUAAAAGGGGAAGAGAUGGGCUACAUUUCCUAUUAAGGGUAACUUACGAAUUAUAUACUGAAAUACAAAUAUUGAAGAAGGAUUUAGCAGUAAGUAAAAAAUAGAGUGUUUU